This 588-nucleotide ribosomal RNA is filed under the name Trichomycterus conradi. RNAcentral describes it as "partial large subunit ribosomal RNA". It matches the Rfam family "Bacterial large subunit ribosomal RNA", at positions 1811 to 2609 of the family's 2925-position model. Lineage: Eukaryota; Metazoa; Chordata; Actinopteri; Siluriformes; Trichomycteridae. The record is from RNAcentral.
AAACAUCGCCUCCCGCAAAACCGCAAUGUAUAGGAGGUCUUGCCUGCCCAGUGACUACAAGUUAAACGGCCGCGGUAUUUUGACCGUGCAAAGGUAGCGCAAUCACUUGUCUUUUAAAUGGAGACCUGUAUGAAUGGUAGAACGAGGGCUUAACUGUCUCCCCCUUCAAGUCAAUGAAAUUGAUCUCCCCGUGCAGAAGCGGGCAUAAUAAUACAAGACGAGAAGACCCUUUGGAGCUUGAGAUGCAAGACCAACUAUGUCAAAAAACCUUAAAAGAAUUAAACUAAAUAAUAACUGGUCCUCAUCUUCGGUUGGGGCGACCACGGGAGACAACAAAGCUCCCACGCGGACUGGGAAAAUACCCAAAACUAAGAGAGACAUCUCUAAGUCGCAGAAUAUCUGACCAAAAAGAUCCGGCUUCUUGCCGAUCAACGGACCAAGUUACCCUAGGGAUAACAGCGCAAUCCCCUUCCAGAGUCCAUAUCGACAAGGGGGUUUACGACCUCGAUGUUGGAUCAGGACAUCCUAAUGGUGCAGCCGCUAUUAAGGGUUCGUUUGUUCAACGAUUAAAGUCCUACGUGAUCUGAG